AAGUCGUAACAAGGUUUCCGUAGGUGAACCUGCGGAAGGAUCAUUAACACGUAUCCAACGUUAAAACAACCCCCGUGAACUUUCAGCUUGCUCCAGUCAGGGACCUCUGCCGAUUGUGAUAUUUUAUAGCUACGGUUGAGCGAUUGCAUCUAGUGACCUGAGUGUCUGAAAGUGUCAUUGAUUAUGUAAGGAUGGCGCAGUCGAUCGCUGUAGGCCCACACGGCCGGCGACCGGGUCACCGGGCUCUGCCCCUUUACGACAACACAGUACGAAUUGGCCGCGCGUGAAAUUCGCACGGCACCAAAAACCGAACAACUGUUAACAAUGGAUAUCUUGGUUCUC
Molecule: unclassified non-coding RNA, 342 nt
Filed under: fungal sp.
Lineage: Eukaryota; Fungi
Description: partial internal transcribed spacer region
Rfam family: Eukaryotic small subunit ribosomal RNA (bases 1-46)
Source: RNAcentral